CGCCUGUUUAUCAAAAACAUCUUUUCUUGUUAGUUUUUGAAGUAUGGCCUGCCCGCUGACUUUGGUGUUGAAGGGCCGCGGUAUUUUGACCGUGCAAAGGUAGCAUAGUCAUUAGUUCUUUAAUUGUGAUCUGGUAUGAAUGGCUUGACGAGGCAUGGGCUGUCUUAAUUUUAAAUUGCUUAUUGAAUUUGGUCUUUGAGUUAAAAUUCUUAGAUGUUUUUAUGGGACGAGAAGACCCUAUAGAGUUUGACAUUUAUUAUGGUCUCUUUCUGUUUGUGAGGGUUCACUGGGCCAUUUAAUAUGUUUUGUUGGGGUGAUGGGAGGGAUAUAAUUUAACCCCUCCUUUGUGUUGUUAUAUUUAUUUAUAUUUGUUUGAUCCAUUUAUUUUGAUUGUAAGAUUAAAUUACCUUAGGGAUAACAGCGUAA
Molecule: ribosomal RNA, 426 nt
Filed under: Reticulitermes virginicus (dark southern subterranean termite)
Lineage: Eukaryota; Metazoa; Arthropoda; Insecta; Blattodea; Rhinotermitidae
Description: partial 16S ribosomal RNA
Rfam family: Bacterial large subunit ribosomal RNA
Source: RNAcentral